GUUGUGUUGAUUUUGAGCGUGCCCGUGUCCGUGCGUUGAGCGAAAGCUCAAGUGUUUUAUGCGGGGGGGAAGGUCUGAGAGGCCGCUGUUUGACAGAGAUGCAGUCGCACCAGCCUUUGAUGCGACGGCCGCCCACCAGAAAUGGCACCCCACACAUACACACACACGUGUUGUGUGUGGGGCUGAAAGGGGCUGGCUGGCCUGUCAUCUGCAGUGAGUCAAAUGCUCGAAACGCUGCGUGGCCCUCUCUGUCGGAGGGUCAGCAGCGAACUCAAUUCAGACUAGUCCUGCACAAC
Vitrella brassicaformis is the source of this 296-nucleotide non-coding RNA. It matches the Rfam family "Nuclear RNase P". Rfam says of the family: Ribonuclease P (RNase P) is a ubiquitous endoribonuclease, found in archaea, bacteria and eukarya as well as chloroplasts and mitochondria. Its best characterised activity is the generation of mature 5'-ends of tRNAs by cleaving the 5'-leader elements of precursor-tRNAs. NCBI's taxonomy places the organism in Eukaryota, Vitrellaceae. The record is from Rfam.